Molecule: long non-coding RNA, 5447 nt
Filed under: Panax ginseng (ginseng)
Lineage: Eukaryota; Viridiplantae; Streptophyta; Magnoliopsida; Apiales; Araliaceae
Description: long non-coding RNA (PGIN_LNC009394)
Source: RNAcentral
UUUUUUCUUUCUCACCUUCACUGAUCUCUGAUUCUCUCUGUUUUUCGGUUUCUAUCUCUUCUCUUCUCCAUCAAAUCCUGAUUUCUCUAGUUCUCAAUAUCUCGAUACUCUUUACAGAUUUCAUUUUGAUGUGGUUUACCGAUCUGAUUAAUCGAGUAAACUUAAAUUUUUUAGGGUUUCGAUCGAAAAACGAUGAAAAUCGUUUCUCUUGAUGUCACUUUCUCGAAUCCAUUAUAUCUUAUUGUAAUUUUUUUGUUUUGAUGUUCAAAAAAAUCUUCAUUUCGUUUGCAGAUUUAUUUUUUAAAACAAACCCCUAAUUUCCACUCUUAAUAUCCAUAAUUUCCCUUCUAUACUUUCAUCUACUGUGAUUCAAAAGUACAAAUUUCUGUGUGUUUAAACAUUCACAGGUUUAUCUUUUGGAAAAUCACUCUCUAAAUUAUUUUUUGAACAACCUUCAUUUUUUUAAUUGAUCAACCCGUUCACAUCUCAAACCUGUUUCGUUCAGAAAUAUUUCAGAUCUGUGAAAUUAAUGUUUUAGGGUUUCGAUUUUUGACAAAAAGACGAUCUCUAUUUUUUUUAAAAUCACCUAUUUGAUCUGUGAUUGACAUUCACAGGUUCAUUGAUUUGAAAACCCUAAUUUUUGUCUAUGUUUUUUUGAAACCCUAGAAUCUUAACAGUUUUUUUGGUAUUUUGACCAAAUAUCUCUGAUAAACCAGUUUUGUAUUUCAAAAACCCAAAAUCCAUUUCAUAUUGUUCAAAAUCUGUACAUUUUAAAAAAAAAACUUAAUUUUUUUUCGAAAAUUUUCAGAUCUACUUAUUAUUUUGAUUUGUUUAAGAGAAUGAGGUUCUCUCUGAGAAACUAUUGUGCAUGUCACCCCGUUAUAUUUGAACACCUUAAGAUACUGCAUCUUUGAUACAAUACACUGGUAUCACUUUUGCUUAAAAAUGCUCACUCAGGUAAACUCGUUUAUAUUUUUGUUGUCUAUCUCUCUCAUUAUAUAUACACUGUGUGGAUACUGAUAUCCACUGGCUUUAUAUUUUUUGGCAUUCAUAUUGUAUAUUGUGUGGACACUGAUGUCCACUAGGUUUAUUUAUUGAACUACUACUUGCUCAAUCCUACUGAGAUUUGUGAUAAAUGCUAGAUUUUACAUAAUACCUGCCUCUCUAGAAUUUAUUUUGUAAUGUCAGUUUUCUAUCUUCUGAUAUAACUCGGUUCUAUAUUUCUCUGUGAAAUAGUUCUUUGUCGUGUUAUACUAAAGAAUGUUAUAAAUGUUAAACACUGCUACAUUCUUUUGUAAUCAUUUUUGAAACUGACUGAACAUAAUUGUUCUCUGUGUUAGAUAUAUGUCAUAUGGCUCUUUUUUUUGUUACUAUUUUCUUACCCUCUUAAAUAUAAAAUUUAAAAAAGUAUCCACUUCACUGUUGAACUUAAAUAUUUUAUGUUCUUCACUACAGUUCCCAGUAUGGUCAUAUUACUUGUAUACUUACUGCUAAUCUUCACUACCAAUACUUCGUGUAUUAAAUAUAAGGACCAUCUUGCCUGCAUCAUAUCAUUACAUUAUUUUCUCUUUAUCUAUAAGUUCAUUCUCAAUAUGGUGCAUUCACAUGUUCAGUCCUUACCUAGCUUCAUCCUUUCAUCUCUCUUACCUGGUUCUUUGCUCAUCAUGAUUAAUGUUUUCUCAUCUAAACGAAAGAAACUCCCAUUUCAUUCUGAAUUGCAUUUUUCUCAUGGUAUUCAUCAUCUCACUACUGCAUCUGCUCAAGCUAAUUAUAGAGUUAUGAGACAUAAUCUGUGUCUAGGGAAUGUGAUUACAUUUAACAGUUUUCCAAAUCAAUUUGAAAAGAUCAAAAAUGUUGGGUGGGAUUGUGGUUACUUUUUAUUAUAAGUCUAUCUAUCCUGGUCUCAUAUCUGAAUUUUACACUCACAUGGAAUUCUCUAAGGAUUCAUCUGGUUUGUUAAAAAGCAUCACUACUUGUAUACAAGGUCAAACAUAUAUCAUUGAUGAAAUGUUUCUUUUACAUACACUCCAACUGCAUCCUUGUACUUUAGAAUUACCUAGGAUUAACUCUUAUCUUUAUCCCUCUAGUAUUUCUGUGGAAAAUGCAUGCUAUUUAAACACAACUUGUCUAUUGUGAUUGAUCAAAUGGUACAUGCUUUAUUGUUUGAUUUUCCUCGCAAAGUUGGUUUAGAAUUUCUUCCUGCUGAGAGUCAAUUCUUGGGUAAAAUUCUUAGAAACAACUUCAUGCUUAUUAGAGAUGAUAGGAAAUUACUGCCUUUUGAUUUGAAAUUAUCAAAAGCAUCUUGAAUGAGUGCAUGCCUUGCAACUUGGCCUUUGGUUUGUUCCACAACAACUGUUUUGGCUUUGGUUUGUUGCUUACUCACAUCUUUAAUUAUCUGGAUAUCAAUGUGUCACAACAUCAGUCUCAACUAGUUCCAACAAGCAAUAUUGUCUCCCAUCUAAACCUUCCACCUCAGCCCUUAAUAGUUUUCAAACCUUUUGAUCAUGAUGUCAUCGAAUCUAACAUCAACAUGGCCACUAAAAUCGAUUCUCUUAAUAGCAUGAAUCAACUUCUUCUACAAAACCAAACUCUUAUGUUAGAAAAAUUGGAAGAUGUGCAAUUAUCUUUGCAUAUUGUUAAGUCCAUGGUCUGUUUUCUGAUGGAGAACAAUAGAUUGCUUAUGGGUCCCUAUCAAUUUCAUGUUAAUGCCAAUGAUGACCCAACUGAUCUUGUACCCCAACCAUUCCCAGAAGAUACGGAUACCAACAUUCCAGAAAUGUCUCCACCACCACCACCACCACCACCACUACGACCACUACUACUACUAAUACUACUACUACUACUACCACCACCACCACCUCUACUGAUAUGUUUGUUAAUAACUGUUUGUGUAGGAUCAUUUGACUAAUAUUUUCUGCAGGAUUAAUUCUAUUUCCCCAUCAUUUUUUAUGAUGACAAAGGGGGAGAAGAAAAUUAUUAUAAACUGCUAUAGGAUGUUAUAAACUGCUAUAACUACCUUAACUGUUAUAAACUGCUAUAAUUGCCUUAACUGUUAUAAACUGCUAUGGAAUUGGACUUCAAGUGUUCAUAGUUUUUGAGGGGGAGCUUCUUAUUAGUAAGGGAUAAAAAUAUUUUUAUAAUUGUCAUCAUCAAAAAGGAGGAGAUUAAUAUGUCUCAUUUUAUCUUAUAUAUUUUGAUGAUAACAAUUAGGAAGAAAUUAAAUAAGUUUGUAAUAUAUUUAAUUUAUUAUUUUAUCUAAACUAUUUUCUAUUUUUAUUUGAAUUAAUUUUUAUUGACCUUGAUAAUUUAACUAUUAAGUGUUAAAUAAAUUGAUUCAUAUAAAUAUCCAAGGCAAAGAGAUCCUAUUUCUUUUUUAAAACCAAAGUUGGGCAAAAUUUGUUGCGUGCAUGUAUACAUAUAUAUAAUAACGUGUGUGUUAAAAUAUAAUAUAAAGUCUUAUAUAUAUAUAUAUAUAGAGAGAGAGAGAGAGCAAGGAUCAAGUGCAUACUCCUUUUCUUACUCACCCGUGCUCACCCCCUUUAGCGACGGACCUGACGACGAUUUCGGUCAUACAACCGUCGUCUAUACUUUUAGCGAUGGAUAACAUAUAACAUCGCUAAAAGUAUGGACGAAGGUUGUAUGACCGAACCGUCGCCGGGUCCGUAGCUAAAGGGGGGUGAGCACGGGUGAGUAAGAUAAGGGGUAUGCACUUGAUCCNNNNNNNNNNNNNNNNNNNNNNNNNNNNNNNNNNNNNNNNNNNNNNNNNNNNNNNNNNNNNNNNNNNNNNNNNNNNNNNNNNNNNNNNNNNNNNNNNNNNNNNNNNNNNNNNNNNNNNNNNNNNNNNNNNNNNNNNNNNNNNNNNNNNNNNNNNNNNNNNNNNNNNNNNNNNNNNNNNNNNNNNNNNNNNNNNNNNNNNNNNNNNNNNNNNNNNNNNNNNNNUAUAUAUAUAUAUAUAUAUAUAUAUAUACAGUAAGGAUCUUAGACUCACCCGGCUAAAAACUCCCCCAACUCAUCUAUAUAUAUACUCUCCUUCUCAUUCUCUCUCCUAAUUAGACACAGCCAAAAAAAAAGAGCCGCGUUUUUUGUUACUUCUCUCUCCCUCUCGUCGCGAAGAUUGAUAACCCAUCUCCAGCUCGACGAAGACUGAAGAUAUUUCUCCAUCUCUAAGCCGCCUAAAGAAGCUCUGACUUCGCGGCUUACUUCGCGAAGAAGAUCUGACUUUUCUGCCUUCACGAGACUCGGCCCCUUCUCCCUUAUACGUCGAUUCAUUAAUUUUAGACCAAGGUAACAAAAUUAGAACUUUGUAUAUGGAUUUUCUUGUUUUAUGGGUUGAAAUCAGGCUUAGAUUCGUUCCAAUUUGUGUUUUGGUGUUCAAUAAUAGCUUUUUUAGGGCUUAAAAAUUAUGAGGGCCAAACCCUAUAAUCUGUAAAAUUAUUGUGUUUUUGAUUUGUAUUAUGAAGUUGUAAUGGAGUUGGGUUCUGAAAGAUUAUUUGGUGUUAUUAUAUUUUGGAAGUAGUACUUGUUGGAGACUCGUGAAAUUUUGAAAAAUCUGCAAAAUCUACAAAAUUUUGGAAGCAACAUUGGGAAAACCAGUUUUUGUUUUUUUUGCAGAGCUUAGUGCUUUUCUUGCAGUUUGGUGAAAACCAGUUCUUGUUUUUUAAGGAUACAUAUGCAAUAUUAUAUAUUUUGAAAGAUUGUUGGUGACAAGAUGAUUUGUGAUGAAAAGGUAUAUUGUUGGUGUUUUGCUUACACUUCUUUUUCUUUGUGAAUGUUCCUGCCAUGUGCUUGCUUUUCAUUUUUGAAACCACCUAAUUGUCACAUUACUACUUCUUAACCUUCUUGUCUACUAAAUAUUCUGUAUUAUUUCACAGAUUGAACUUUCUGGGGACUAAGGCUUACUAAGGUUUACUUGAAUAUGUUUUGUAUUUGCAGCCAUGAAUAAUGCACUAUGUGAUUGUGAUAGGCCAGCUCAACUUGAAACAUCAUGGACUGAUACUAACCCGGGAAGAAGGUUUUUAUCAUGUCCGAAUUAUAGAAAAGUAAGUGUGUUAGUGUUCCAUGUUUGUCUAUUAUCUCUUUCAUUCUAUCUACUUAUACAUAAAAUUGAAAACUUCGUUGUUUACAGAGGAAUGCCUGUUAAUUUUUUGGUUGGUACGAUCCUCCAAUGUGCGACAGAUCAAGGCAAAUAAUACCUAGAUUAAUUCGAAAGAUCAAUGGAAUGGAGCAAGAGAUGGAGAACAUGCGUGUAAUAGGCAACAAAGGAAGAACACAAUUAAUUAUUUCACUUGUAUGUUCUUGGUUAUUGAUUUUAAUAAUGUUAUUGUAGAUGGAGUAAAAAUUGUCAUUUUGGUUAAUUAAACUUUAGUGUUAGUUUAUUGUAACCUUGUCAAAGAAGGACAUGUAAUCAAGGUAUAGUUGAUUUUAAUAUGAAAUACGUUAUUUACCAA